CCAGGGUGCUGCUGUGGCAGCGUGGCAGAAACACAGCCAGCCACCCAUGUCCUCCCUGUCCUGUGCCCUGCCCUCACCAGCAGCCACUGCUGAUCUGCACCAAUUCAUCUGCUGUUUUGGUGAGUGCCUGCUGUGCACUCCAAUUAAUAGAGUUGCUUUAUUUUGCUGGAGAGAGCGCUGGAACCCAUGCCACAAACAGCUCUGUGAGCGUCUUUCUGCCCACCUGCCCCCACGGAACAGCUUGUCCAAUGUACUGGCAUCGUCCCUGGUCACUCUCCAUCGGUGCAGCACAUCUGGCGGGGACCACAGGGGACACUGGAACCUGAGAGGGGCUUGGAUCUGUGCUUCAGUUAUGUCAUGUCUGAGUGGUGCUUGUUUGUGUAUUUUCAGAAAACCCAGAGUAAAAAAGGUUUUCCCCCAUAAAUUAAUAGUGACCUCAAAGCUCCCGUGGUGGAAAAACUGCCAUGUGAUGCAAUGCCAGUAAAAUAAAAGCAACUGCAACUUCA
Molecule: long non-coding RNA, 506 nt
Filed under: Junco hyemalis (dark-eyed junco)
Lineage: Eukaryota; Metazoa; Chordata; Aves; Passeriformes; Passerellidae
Description: lncRNA (ENSJHYG00000009126.1)
Source: RNAcentral